This 403-nucleotide ribosomal RNA is filed under the name uncultured bacterium. RNAcentral's name for it is "partial 16S ribosomal RNA". It matches the Rfam family "Bacterial small subunit ribosomal RNA", at positions 30 to 526 of the family's 1533-position model. The record is from RNAcentral.
AUUGAACGCUAGCGGGAUGCUUUACACAUGCAAGUCGAACGAGUGGCGGACGGGUGAGUAAUGUAUGGGGACUGCCCGAUAGAGGGGGAUAACUACUGGAAACGGUAGCUAAUACCGCAUACUAUCGGAUAACCCAUAUGGGAUUAGCUAGUAGGUGAGGUAAUGGCUCACCUAGGCGACGAUCCCUAGCUGGUCUGAGAGGAUGAUCAGCCACACUGGGACUGAGACACGGCCCAGACUCCUACGGAGGCAGCAGUGGGGAAUAUUGCACAAUGGGCGCAAGCCUGAUGCAGCCAUGCCGCGUGUAUGAAGAAGGCCCUAGGGUUGUAAAGUACUUUUGGCAGAGAAGCGGUAUCUGCAGAAUAAGCACCGGCUAACUACGUGCCAGCAGCCGCGGUAAUAC